RNAcentral lists this long non-coding RNA (706 nucleotides) under Heterocephalus glaber (naked mole-rat). RNAcentral's name for it is "lncRNA (ENSHGLG00000041665.1)". Lineage: Eukaryota; Metazoa; Chordata; Mammalia; Rodentia; Bathyergidae. The record is from RNAcentral.
CAGCAGAGAUUCGAGUAUUUGAGCAAAGAAUCCAGCGGGAACCCUGAGACGAUGAGACGAGAUCGGCUGCAGCAGCCGCGGGUCCCCGUUAUGCAAGAGCGCGCAGCUGGCUCUAAUGGCAGUCAUUUCGCUCCCUAACCCAGCCGGCGGCCAGUCCCUAAUCUCCGAGUCCUGAGUUUGAGACCCAAAUUGAGCAGUUUGAGGGACGGCGGCGCAGCUUCCGCUCAGAACACGCCGCGCUCCGCCACUCCGGCUACUGAGGCACCUCGUCCUGCAAUCCAGGGCCCCACGGGCCUUCCGACCGACCUGCAAGCUCAAUCGACGUUGGCCCAACUUUCCUUUUGUCCACGUGGGAGCAGUAACAGGCUCCCCUUUUUCACCCAGCCUGGGAGUGUCAAUGGAGGCCUGGCCAUGGUCGGUGUAACCCUGAACCUCAACCCCACCUAGAACUGCCUUGAAGUCCCCUGCGCAGCAGCCACGAAGCUCCCAGCUGACGGCGUACAAUUCCCAACCCAUUUCUGCUGGCGGCACCGCAGGAUCUAAGGGAGGCAGCAUUGUCUCCUGGAAGUCUCCAAACGCAGGGUGCAGAAAGGAGAAUUUGUUGCCAGAUCAAGGAGACAGACCCAGAGCCUAGAGGUUUGACCAGCACACCACAAAAUGCCUCCAAAACUAUUGAUUCUGGUGUCAUUAAUUCUACAUUCUGAAG